GAUGAACGCUGGCGGCGUGCUUAACACAUGCAAGUCGAACGGACAGGCGCUGCGUUUGCUGGUCUCUCGUGUGGCGAACAGGUGUGUAACACACGUGUAACCUGCCCCUGACUUUGUGAUAUCUUCUGGAAACUGGGGCUCUUACCGCGUAGGAUCUCCUGCUGCAUGGUGGUGGUUGGAAAGAUUCGGCGGUUGGGUAUGGACUCGCGGCUUAUCAGCUUCAUGGUGGGGUAGUGGCUUACCAAGCCUUUGACGGGUAGCCGGCCUGAGAGGGUGACCGGCCACAAUGGGACUGAGGUACGGCCCAGACUCCUACGGGAGGCAGCAGUGGGGAAUAUUGCAGAAUGGGCGGAAGGCAGAUGCAGCAACGCCGCGUGCGGGAUGACGGGCUUCGGGGUGUAAACCGAUUUCGCAUGUGACGAAGCGUGAGUGACGGUAAUGGGUAAAGAAGCACCGGCUAACUACGUG
Molecule: ribosomal RNA, 468 nt
Filed under: uncultured bacterium
Lineage: Bacteria
Description: partial 16S ribosomal RNA
Rfam family: Bacterial small subunit ribosomal RNA
Source: RNAcentral